AUUGGCAGGGUGCAAUGUGGUGUAUGGGAGAGUCUAUUCACGCCUUGAGCUCUGAUGUCCAAGUCCCCCUGACUGGGGCCAUCGCCCGUUGAGGGUGCAAGGCCUGUUGGGCAGGGCUUAGUCUACGAUCUCGGCGUGUGUGGGCUCUUCCCUGGAGUCGGGUUGCUUGAGAGUGCAGCCCAAAGAGGGUGGUAAACUCCACCUAAGGCUAAAUACUUUCCACGAGACCGAUAGCAAACAAGUACCGUGAGGGAAAGUUGCAAAGAACUUUGAAGAGAGAGUUAAAGAGUGCGUGAAACCGUUUGGAGGUAAACGGGUGGGAGCUCGAAGGUCGAACGGACGGGAAGGGAUUCAACUUGGCGCGGUGACAAGCCGGGCUGGUUUCUGCGUGGAUGCCGGAUUCUCGCCUCGCGGCUGAGGAUGCGGUGACCCGGAGCCGCCUGCUGCUGUGCUCGCCGUGCCUUGUGCAUUUCCCUGUUCCCCUCUCCUAGUAGGACGCCGCGACCGGCUGUCGAGGAAAGCCCAGGAGCUGGCGGGAGCAGCUGCGCGGACGAGUGUGAGAUUUGUUCUCUGCGUCUGGUCUGUCUGUCUCCUGCCGCCGUGGGUAGCUUUCUCCGGCCGAGGAGCUGUGCGAGGUUGAUCCCUGCGAUCCCUCGCGCAUGCACGCGCCUCCGAUCUGUCGGUUCGGGUUGACAAAACCCUACGGGUGGCGGUGGGUGAUCUUGCGCCGGUCUGACGACCGUGUCGCAAUUGAUCUUCACACGUCAGCCGCCGUCGGUUGGGGUGUGGACUCCCGUCUAUUAGGCGCUUGGGGUCAGCGGCGAGUAGAUUGGCUUCCCACCCGACCCGUCUUGAAACACGGACCAAGAAGUCUAACGUGUGGGCGAGUCUUCGGGGCGACCGAACCCUUAGAGGCGAAAUGAAAGUGAAGACUCGACCUUUGGUCGGUCUGGGUGUGAUCCUCCGUCUUAUGGCGGGGGCGCAACACCGGCCCGUCCGA
RNAcentral lists this ribosomal RNA (1000 nucleotides) under Eutrichodesmus armatocaudatus. RNAcentral's name for it is "partial large subunit ribosomal RNA". It matches the Rfam family "Eukaryotic large subunit ribosomal RNA", at positions 129 to 773 of the family's 3401-position model. The record is from RNAcentral. Lineage: Eukaryota; Metazoa; Arthropoda; Diplopoda; Polydesmida; Haplodesmidae.